CCUACGGGUGGCAGCAGUGAGGAAUAUUGGUCAAUGGACGAGAGUCUGAACCAGCCAAGUAGCGUGAAGGAUGACUGCCCUAUGGGUUGUAAACUUCUUUUAUAUGGGAAUAAAAUGUUCCCCGUGUGGGAUUUUGUAUGUACCCUAUGAAUAAGGAUCGGCUAACUCCGUGCCAGCAGCCGCGGUAAUACGGAGGAUCCGAGCGUUAUCCGGAUUUAUUGGGUUUAAAGGGAGCGUAGGUGGAUUGUUAAGUCCGUUGUGAAAGUUUGCGGCUCAACCGUCAAAUUGCAGUUGAAACUGGCAGUCUGGAGUGCAGUAGAGGUGGGCGGAAUUCGUGGUGUAGCGGUGAAAUGCUUAGAUAUCACGAAGAACUCCGAUUGCGAAGGCAGCUCACUGGACUGCAACUGACACUGAGGCUCGAAAGUGUGGGUAUCAAACAGGAUUAGAUACCCCGGUAGUC
This 460-nucleotide ribosomal RNA is filed under the name uncultured bacterium. Its description in RNAcentral is "partial 16S ribosomal RNA". It matches the Rfam family "Bacterial small subunit ribosomal RNA", at positions 338 to 795 of the family's 1533-position model. The record is from RNAcentral.